CUGGUGUACAGUUGAUUGAUGAACCCUGAGACUCAGCACUCUGGUGUCUUAUUUUUUCCUCUCUUUUUGGACAAAGAAAACAAACACGCAAGGACGAUUGAAGGAGAGGUUAAUUUUGGUCAUCAACUACUUGGCCUGGACUCACAAACAGGGCGCUCACAAACUAAGAUGGAACCAUGCUGCCAGCCAAAGGAGACCUGCGUACACAUGUCCUGGCAAAAAACUGUGACUCCUGUUGCUGUCAUCUAUUGGGGACUGCUCGACACGUGUCAAAUAAAUAACAGCGUGCUGCAAGCAUUUGCGGCGUGGAAGCCAUGGAUUGUGUCCUUGAGGGCAUUCCUCCCACCCCCUGACCCUCCACAUUGUACCUUGUUCUAUGAUAGAGAACACGAUUUCAUUUAUCAACAAGAAUUUUUGAAAAACUAUCAGACACUCAUGGUAUUUUACCAACUGAUAGAAUAGUGGUGGGAAGAGAGGGUGUUGCGGCAG
This is a long non-coding RNA of Phyllopteryx taeniolatus (common seadragon), 489 nucleotides long. RefSeq lists it as uncharacterized. The transcript has 3 exons. The record is from RefSeq and is a predicted model, not a curated record. Lineage: Eukaryota; Metazoa; Chordata; Actinopteri; Syngnathiformes; Syngnathidae.